This 1540-nucleotide long non-coding RNA is filed under the name Vigna radiata. Its description in RNAcentral is "long non-coding RNA (VRAD_LNC001291)". Lineage: Eukaryota; Viridiplantae; Streptophyta; Magnoliopsida; Fabales; Fabaceae. The record is from RNAcentral.
GGACGCCUAAGUGGUUUUAACCAAAGAAAAAUAAAAAGAAAAAGAAAUUAAGAGUGAGGAGUCAUUCACUAAUUAGGAAACAGUUUGAUGUAGAGGUGUAGGAAUAUAGGAUGGUUUGACCUAGGUUGGAGUUUUGGGGGUCAUGGAAGAACCUAGGUAUUAAGUAGGAUGUAUGAGAAUAUGAGAGAAGGGUUAAAUGGUUGAACAAGAAUGUGUUCUUGUUUCCUACGUGAGUAGGUAAGAGGUGGAAACCUAGGUCUGUAGGGUGCAGUAGAGGAGCUUGCGUAAGAGGAAAGAGUAAGGGAGAGAAUGAGUCUCUAGUGCAUGGGAAAUUUAGAAGGUUGAUGGUUGUUGGUUCUUGAUAUGCAGUUUAAUAUUGUUGGUAGAACAAGAAAAAGUAGGAAAGAGGGAAUAUGAGUUGUAGCAGAUAGUCUGUAAGGAGUAACUAUUAGGUUUGUGUAGUAGCAAUUUCAAUUUCAUGGAAAAAAGUUGGUCUUUGGAAUGGUUCAUGUUAAAAAUGGGUUGUUAUGCUACAUUGGGUAAAGGUGUGGGCCAUAUUGUAGGUGUAUGGUAGCAUACUAUUGGUAAGCAUAAUGAGUACCAAGAGUAACUUUUGGAAGAGACAAAAAGCUUCGUGAGAAUGAGUUUGGUGAGGGGACUUUUUGGGUGCAUGAAUAUUGGGUGUGGGGCGUGUAGUUAUGUGUGAUAAGUGUAUUGUAUAUACAAUAAGAUGCACUCAGACUUAUGCUUGUGAAUGUGGGAAAGUGGUGUGGGGCCAUGGUGUAUUAUGAUAUUAUAUUAUUCAUGAUGUAGUGAGAUGAGUAAGUUACGUGAAUGAAGGAAUUUGGUGAACCAAAGUGGGGUCCAUUUAGUUAGUUGGAUGGGGUUAUUUUAUUUGACUCUGUUGUUGUUAUAGAAAAAGGAGGUGUAGUAAGUAUAUAUAUUUGACUAUUUUUUGUAUUUUGGUUGAUUUUAUAUUAUUGGCAUAUUUGUUUAAUUAUUGUCUUGAGAAUGUCACUAUAUGAGGAAUGAUUUUAAAUUGGUUACGAGACAACAAGUUUUUGUGUGUGAAGUUGAGGAUUUGUGAGUUUUCGUUUGGUUGUACAUGUGUAAAGAUAUGAUAGGUUGUUGUGGGGUCUUCUCAUCGUACUUGAUAAAUAUUCAUUAUGACUCUUUUGGUUGUCGAUGUGGGAAGAAAAUAAGUUCGAGUGUUGAUAACUCUUUUGGUCCUGCGAUGCGGGAAAAAGGUCCUCUUUAGAUAUGCAAUGUAGGAAGAGAGCGAUUCUCUUUGGCUAUGCGAUGUAGGAAGAGGGUGAUUCUUUUCAGUUAUACGAUGUAGGAAGAUGAUAUAUCUGGUGUUGGAUGGUAGGAUGACUCGAACUGGUUGCUUCUGAUGAUUAGGUGGUAUAGUAGGGUAUGAGGGAUAGACCGUUGGUUUGUGAUAAUGAUGUGUAAUUGUGUUUAAGUUAUUGGCGUGUUUAAUAUUGUGAUGAAUAUUUAGCACUUGUGAGUUUUGUUAUUAUGUUUAUGAUUUAUACUU